AGGAAUUUCAGACAGAUCACCAUUACUUAUGCAUAGGUGGGUUUUUGUUUUUUUCAAAGUUAAUAUUGCUCUUCCUUUUACAUAUUUGGAUUACUGUGUGGCUGUGGGAUACAGAGGGAGAAAUCUGCAGGUGCCAGCAAUUGAUUCGUCUGACUUGCUUCUGCUUUUAUCUUCUUCCUCUCCAGCCCUCAAACCUCCAACCCAUCAUUUCAAGAAAGCCAGUUACGCCUCCACAAGCACCACCUUCCCACCUUUCCCCAAGAAAACGGAGGACUACUUGGUGAAGUACAAGCUGCUUGAUCAGAGGGGCAGAAUGAAGAAGAUCCAGCACAUUUCACAGCACUGGAAUAAGAAAUAGACGGGAAAGGAAAGCGUCGUCCCUGUAUCCCUGCCCUACCCCCCACCUGAUAGCCAGUUAUUAAUGGAGGACAUUUUGGAACCAGAGCAAAAAGCACUUUGAAAGCUGCACAAAUUAUUGGGGAAAUGUAUAUAAUGUAACAUGUGCAAUGGAGGCAUUUCCUAGUCAUAAUUCAUCCUGUUUCACCAGGAUGCCCUGCAUAUAGUAGCAUCAAAUCCCUUCAUCCAUGUGCACAAAAUCCCUGCGUCUGCAUUCAGGACUGGGUCCUGACUGAGUUAUUAUUUCUGGACUGUAUCUGCCCACAUAGCCCAUAAUAGGUGACUGGCAUGGCCAACUUUGGCAGUCAAUUACCUUUUCAGAGAGGCGACCUGAAUCUAGUUUUACAGAGGGUGGGUUGUUUGGUUUUUCCCAAUGUGUCUUUGCAUGCAGGGGCUACUCUCACCUGGUUUAGCUGUUUCCCAGGAUGUGGUCUGGGAGCCGCAGGUGAGAAAAACUAUCCCAGAAGGAGCUUAACACCCACAAUACACACACAUACAGUCAUACCUCGGAUUACAGACACUUCAGGUUGUGUGUUUUCGGGUUACGCACCGCGCCGAACCCAGAAGUACCGGAACGAGUUACUUCCGGGUUUCGGCACUCGCGUAUACGCAGAAGCACUAAAUCGUGACCCACAUGUGCGCAGACGCAGCACUGCAGGUUGUGAACGUGCCUCCCGCACGGAUCACGUUCGCAACCUGAGCGUCCACUAUAUAUGUAUAUUUCUGGUGCCACCAGUGCAGAACAUUAGGGAACAGAUAGUAAUCUAAGCUUAGACAAAUCCAGCAGCCAAUCUGUCUCUAGGCCAGUUUCACCUGGAUAUUGUACUUAAUGGGACCUUUCUACAAAAAGAAGAGAGAGUUCACAUUUGCAUAGGUCUCCAUUUCUUUUUUUUUCUUUUUUUAAAAAAAUAAUAUUUAUUAAAGUUUCAAAGGAAAAAAAAAUCACAUUAGUAAAAAAAAAUUAACAAUGAAAAGGAAAAAUACAAAGUAGAAAAAAAAGAAAAAACAGUUAAAAACAAUUCCAUCUUUUCCUCACUUCUUUUACGUUUACUUGUUUCCCGGACCUCCUCCUACCUCCCUCUUUUGUAUUCCAAUUAAAUUUGUUAAUCCAACAAUUCCUUUCCCUCCUUUUUAAUCCUAAUCUUUAAUCUUGAUAUAUUAUAACUUUAAAUUUUUACAUAUUAAAAACCAAUUUUUCCAUAUUCUUUUGUACCUGUACAGCUAGAAACCACUUAACUUCAAUCCAACAUCAUUCUAACAUUCAUUAAUUUUGCAAUAUUUCUGUAAAUAGUCUUUAAAUUUCUUCCAAUCUUCUUCCACCGACUCUUCUCCCUGGUCACGGAUUCUGCCAGUCAUUUCCGCCAAUUCCAUGUAGUCCAUCAUUUUCAUCUGCCAUUCCUCCAGUGUGGGUAGAUCUUGUGUCUUCCAAUGCUUUGCAAUGAGUAUUCUUGCUGCUGUUGUAGCAUACAUAAAGAAAGUUCUAUCCUUUUUUAACACCGAUUGGCCGACUAUGCCCAGGAGGAAGGCCUCUGGUUUCUUCAAGAAGGUAUAUUUAAAUACCUUUUUUAGUUCAUUAUAUAUCAUCUCCCAGAAAGCCUUAAUCUUUGGGCACGUCCACCAAAGGUGAAAAAAUGUACCUUCAUGCAUAGGUCUCCAUUUCAAUUCAUUUUUAUUUCUCCCCUCUCAUCUGCUCCUUCAAUUUAGAAACAACCGAGGCUUUAUUUCCAGAACUGAGGUGAUUGUGUUGCAGUAUCGUUUUAUAAACAGGCAGACCAAAAGCAAGACAUUCAUAUAUGAUAACGGUCUCCCCUCGGGAGGCUGCGGACUCUCCUUCCUUGGCAGUUUUUAAGCAGAGGUUGGAUGGCCAUCCGUCGUAGAUGCCUUAGCUGAGUUUCCUGCAUUGAAGGGUUGGACUAGAUGCCCCCUGGUCCCUUCCACCUCUGCAAUUCUAUGAUUAUACAAUUCUAUUACAGUCGUACCUUGGCUGACGAACGCCUUGCGACUCCAACGUUUUGGCUCCUGAACUCCGCAAACCCAGAAGUGAGUGUUCCGGUUUGCGAAUGUUCUUUGGAACCCGAACAUCCAACAUGGCUUCUGAUUGGCUGCAGGAGCUUCCUGCAGCCAACCAGAAGCCACGCUUUGGUUUUUGAUCAUUUUCUGAAGUCGAACGGACUCCCGGAAUGGAUUCCAUUAGUCAACUAAGGUACGACUGUACAGUUUUCCUAGAGCAGGGCUCUAGGCUGAGUGGGAUCCACUCCAGGUCUGUCUGGCCCUUGAGAAUCUCUCUAGGCAUCAGAACUUCACUUGUCCUCGAGUGCUUUUCUCAGCCUGGAAUGUCUUUUUCACUUGCCUGGAGAGGGAGAAAGCUCUGUGUGGCCCUGUGUCUAGACAUAUCUGACUUGCAAGUGGCUGCAAUGCAACCUGGCAUCCUAUAAAUAUGAAGAUCAUAUCCUUUGUGUCUCCUGGCUCUGCCUCUGGAGCCUGGAGCCUUCUGAAUGCAAAAGCAGCAGCUCUACCAGUGAGCUAACGUCCUUCCCCAAGGGAAGACUUCAUGGCUUCAGGCAGCAAAAUGUCUUGAACAGGCCCUGCUCCUCCUUCCAGGUCUAGGACCUCUGGAACAGCUACAUGUCUGGGCAGAAGCUCAGGUCCAGCUGUGUAGGCUUCUAGGCCUGAUUCAGAAAAACCUGUAAAAUGAACUCCUUGCCAGAGCUCAGGAGGCAGGCGAGGGGAUGGAGAGAAAAGGGGAAAUCCUUAUCCGGUCAGGGUUUUUUCUGCCAGUUUGUCUGCCUUCCUCAUUCUCUUUAAGCAAAUGAAUUUUAAUAAAUGGGAAGACAGCAAGUCAACUGGAGUUGUCACGGAAAACCACAUCGUCAGGAAAACUUCUCCUGAGAACAUGUGCGUUCUAGGCCUACAAAUGGGCAAGAUAUUCUUUUCAGUGGAAUGGCUCCAUGUCUUAAAGUCACUGUCCAGCCCAAUCCUUUGUAGCACCUCAGAACUGUGUUCCCCUUCCCCCCAGGCAUCAUGCUUUGCCGAAUCCACUCUUUUUCUUCUUUAAUAGGAGAGUUGCCUAUAUCCUUGCACACAAAGCCUUGUAAAAUUAGGGGGAGGGGGAGAGAAUGUGAUUUUAUGUCUUAUGAAUUUCAUGACAAAAGGAGAAAAUAUUUUUGACAUUGCUUGUAAAGUGUCACUUAGAUUAUCUGCAGAAAAGGUUGUAUAAAAUGCAAUAUUUUAUUCUUCCAAAUGAGCCUUGUUUAUUUGUGAGUUUGUUUGUGCGGAGGCUUCCCUUUUCCUGUUUGCAUAUCUAGAUGAUAUCACAUUUCAAUUCCACAACUCUUCCAAACGAUGGUGUAUUUAGUUAGGCUUUGGAAAGCGGUGGUUUUGUAGUAGAAAAAUGGGACAAUCAUUUAAUCUUAAGCAGCCCAAAUCAGUUGCAACCUGCAAGUAGUGCUGUUCUUCAUGAUACAACACUCCCAUCUUGUGGUCAUAGCUGUAGGGUGCAAAAUGCACAAUUUUGUUUUAUUUUAUUGCUCAAGUAGCUGUUAUAUGCUCUAGAGCGAUUUCUCACAACCUACAUAGCAGUGAAAUAAUACACAGUACAUAUUUAAAAUACUUUGAAUUCCCCCCCAAAAUGUUAAAUAUCAUCACAGACUGAAUUGGAUGGAGAAUUAGAAAAAAACAAAAACUUGAAAUUCAGGUGGAAACAUAGCUGUCCUGAACAAACACAUCUUAUGAGGUGCUUUUUUCUAACCUUGUUUCUUGCAACCCCCCUUUUUUGUCUUGAUAUUUGUAAUUUCAAAUUUAUCUACAUUAAUUCAUGACACUUUAGGAUUUUACCGUCAUUGGUUACGUUCAGAUGUAACAACAAACCAUGGUUUGGUGUUAUGUCUGACCUUACACCAAUUUACAAAAAGUGCUUUUGCAGUGGGACUGCCAAACCAGGAAAACAAAGCUUGGAACAUAGGAAGCCUUCACAUGCUAAGUCAGCGCAUUGGGCCAUCUAGCUGACUGGCAGGAUUUCAGACAAAGUAUAUUCCCAGGCUGAUUCAACCUGGCACAUUCUGCAUGCAAAGAAGCUAGUUUGCAAACCACACUUUCUGCUAACUCCUAAAUUCACAAACCACUGGCAAUCCACAAAAUCGCUGCCCCAAUCAAGAGCCUGCACCACAGAGACAGAAUAAAACGUUUGAAGCCUUACCAAACAGGAACUGAAAGCAGGCAGCUCUAAACCAUAAGAGUACAUUUGGAAGUUUGAAACUAUGGUUUGGACUACUGACUAUGGGCAUUGCUUUUUUGGGGGGGGGGGGAGGAAUAUAUAUCUUGAGAAAGCGCCAGCACAAAAUGGUUGCCAAUAC
Molecule: long non-coding RNA, 4748 nt
Filed under: Podarcis lilfordi (Lilford's wall lizard)
Lineage: Eukaryota; Metazoa; Chordata; Lepidosauria; Squamata; Lacertidae
Source: RNAcentral